This is an RNA transcript of Oryzias melastigma (Indian medaka), 4682 nucleotides long. It is a transcript of the gene named solute carrier family 4 member 5b, with no coding region annotated. The transcript is spliced from 31 exons. The record is from RefSeq and is a predicted model, not a curated record. NCBI's taxonomy places the organism in Eukaryota, Metazoa, Chordata, Actinopteri, Beloniformes, Adrianichthyidae.
GUUGAGGAGGAAGACUGUUCCAGUCCUGAACAACCUGUCUGAACGACAGAAACACAAACAGAAACAGCUGUUUAAAAUCAACAAUCAGUCCGUUAUUGAUCAGAGUGAAAUCAUCAAAGAGGAUCCACAAACACGUGCAAAUCCGGACCUCAGAAACCAGGAAGUGCACGAGCGCAUGACGGACACGGCCACAUCCCAUCAUCCCGCCGAGCGCCACAGAGCCACAGAUUACAGCAGACAUUAAGCUCCGCAGAUCAAAUCAUUUCUUCAAAAAGUCUCCAGUCGUCAGCUUCUUCCGGUUUCCGCUCACCUUCCUCAGGAUGGACCAUCAGGACUGGCAGCGUGGACGCAGCAGAGGUCACAGGCACUACGACGAUGAUGAUGAAGCUCAGCCCUUCUACAUCGGCGUUCCCGCUUCCCACAGAAGGAAAAGGCGCAGACAUCACUCUCACGCCAGCGAGGCCGACCGCGACUCCAGACACGGCCCCUACGAGCACCACGAGCCCUCCCACCGAGGGCGUUACCACGGCAACGAGGAGCACUACGAGGACGACGAAGGCAGCCUGCUGCCCCAGGAGCCCGCCGACCCCUCAGUGUCUCCGGCUGCAGAGCGGCUACGCAGCAUCCUGGGGGAGGACGAUGGCGCCCCAACACCUACCAUCUUCACUGAGAUGGACACGCUGCAGCGGGACGGCGACGAGCUGGAGUGGAAGGAGUCUGCGAGGUGGGUGAAGUUUGAGGAGAAGGUGGAAGAGGGAGGAGAAAGAUGGAGCAAGCCCCACGUCUCCACGUUGACCCUCCACAGCCUGUUUGAGCUCAGAACCUGUCUGCAGACGGGAACCAUCAUGCUGGACCUGGAGGGGUACUCGCUGCCACAGAUUGUUGAGGAGAUCGUGGAUCGUCAGAUAGUUGACGGCCUCGUUCCACCUGAUCUGAAGGAGAAGAUCAUCUUCGUGCUGCUCAGGAAGCAUCGCCACCAAACCAAGAAACCAAUCCAUCGCUCACUGGCAGACAUCGGAAAGUCCUCCAACACGGCCGCCAACCGUAGUCCUCAUGUUAAUCUGAGUCGUAGUACUAGUUCAGCUUCUGGGAUCCACCGCUCCACAGAAGACCUACGCUCUCGGCAGUCAAGCAGCCUUGGCCGCCUGCAUCCGUUUCAGAGCCGAAGCAUGAACGACAUCUCAGACACUCCCAGCACAGACCAGCUGAAGAACAAGUUCAUGAAGAAGAUUCCUCGUGACGCCGAAGCCUCAAACGUCCUGAUCGGGGAGGUGGACUUCUUGGACAAACCGUUUGUGGCCUUCGUGCGUUUGGCUCAGGCCACGACUCUGGGGGGGCUCACCGAGGUUCCCGUCCCAACCAGGUUCCUCUUCAUCCUGCUGGGGCCUCAAGGGAAAACCAAAUCCUACAAUGAGAUCGGCAGAGCCAUCGCCACCCUCAUGGUGGACGACCUGUUCAGCGACGUCGCUUAUAAAGCGAGGGAGCGAGAGGACCUGAUCGCAGGAGUCGACGAGUUUCUGGACGAGGUGAUCGUUCUCCCUCCAGGAGAGUGGGACCCCAAAAUACGCAUCGAACCCCCGAAGAAAGUCCCGUCAGCUGAGAUGAGGAAGUCGGUGUUGAACCUGAACGAGCUCGGCCAGAUGAACGGCUCGGCUGGUGGAGCGGCUCCAGGAGAGGACGAGGAGCUUCCUGCUCCCCACGAGCUCGGAGAGGAGCUGAAAUUCACCGGGAGGAUUGGCGGUGGAUUGUGGCUCGACAUCAAAAGGAAGAUUCCAUUCUAUUGUAGCGAUAUCUACGAUGGCUUCCAUAUCCAGUCCAUUUCUGCAGUGCUCUUCAUCUACCUGGGCUGCAUUACCAACGCCAUUACCUUCGGAGGCCUGCUGGGAGAUGCUACAGACAACUACCAGGGAGUCAUGGAGAGCUUUCUCGGCACUGCUCUGGCGGGAACCGUCUUCUGCCUGUUCGGUGGACAGCCCCUCAUCAUCCUCAGCUCCACUGGACCCAUUCUCAUCUUUGAAAAACUUCUGUUUGAGUUCAGCAAGAGCAACGGCGUGGACUACAUGGAGCUCCGUCUGUGGAUCGGCCUUCACUCCUGUCUGCAGUGCUUUGUUCUGGUGCUGUCCGACGCCAGCUACAUCAUCAAGUACAUGACCCGCUUCACGGAGGAGGGCUUCUCCAGCCUCAUCUCCUUCAUCUUCAUCUCUGAUGCCAUCAAGAAGAUGGUCUCGUGCUUCAAGUACUAUCCAAUCAACCAGGGCUUCAAACCGGACUACAUCACCUCCUACAAGUGUGAAUGCAUCGCCCCGGACCAGGAAUCUGCGCUGGGCUUGAAUGUUUCAGCUCCGCUGGCAGACGAUAACAUGACUCUGCUGUUUAACUUGACAGAUCUGGACUGGAGUCAGCUGAGUAAGAAGGAGUGUGUUAAGUACGGAGGCGCUCUGGUGGGCAGCUCCUGUAAGUACGUUCCUGACCUGGCCCUCAUGUCCUUCAUCCUCUUCUUUGGAACCUACUCCAUGACCGUGUCUCUCAAGAAGUUCAAGUUCAGCCGCUACUUCCCAACGAAGCUCCGUGUCCUCAUCAGUGAUUUCGCCAUCAUCAUCUCCAUCCUGGUCUUCUGCGGGCUGGACUGUCUGCUGCAGCUGGACACUCCCAAACUGCAUGUCCCCACUGAGAUCAAGAUGAGGAAGCUAAUCAGUGAUUUUGCCAUCUUCAUGUCAAUCAUGUCGUUUGUGGGUCUGGAUUUGUUGAUGGGGUUAGACACUCCCAAACUAAUCGUUCCAACAGAGUUUAAGCCGACACGCAUUGACCGCGGUUGGUUGGUGACGCCUUUUGGGAAGAACCCCUGGUGGUGGUACCUGGCCAGCUUCGUUCCAGCUCUCCUGGUCACCAUUCUCAUCUUCAUGGAUCAGCAGAUCAGUGCCGUGAUCGUCAACCGCAACGAAAACAAGCUGAAGAAAGGCUGUGGCUACCACCUGGACCUGUUCUGGGUGGGGGUGCUGAUGGCGGUCUGCUCCUUCAUGGGUCUGCCGUGGUACGUGGCCGCCACCGUCAUCUCCAUCGCCCACAUUGACUCUCUGAAGAUGGAGAGCGAAACCAGCGCCCCUGGGGAACAGCCGCAGUUCCUGGGAGUCAGGGAGCAACGUCUGACGGGAACCUUGGUGUUUGUUCUGACCGGACUCUCGGUCUUCCUCGCUCCGGUCCUGAAGUACAUCCCCAUGCCCGUCCUGUACGGCGUCUUCCUCUACAUGGGAGUGGCUUCGCUGAGUGGCAUCCAGUUCUGGGAGCGGAUCAAGCUGUACCUGAUGCCCCCCAAACACCAGCCAGACUUCUCCUUCCUGCGCCACGUCCCCCUCAGACGGGUCCAUCUGUUCACGCUGGUCCAGAUCGUCUGCCUGGCCGUCCUCUGGAUCCUCAAAUCCACCUUCUUGGCCAUCAUCUUCCCAGUGAUGAUUCUGGGUCUGAUGGUCGUACGAAAGCUGCUGGAUCUGAUGUUCUCGCAGCACGACUUAGCCUGGCUGGAUGACAUCCUACCGGACAAAGACAAGAAGAAGAAGGAGGACGAGAAGAAGAAGAAGAAAGAGAAGAAGGCAGUGGAGCCGGAGAGCGAUGAAGAGGAGAUGAACCCCUACUCCACAGUCACGUCUGACCAAAAUGAGCUUGACCGCAGCAUCACUCUACACCUGAAGAUCUCCUGCCCCCCCUCACCUGAUCACUCCCAGAAGGGCCUGCUCGCCCCCCUGGACCCCCAGCGGCCGCCUCACCAGCCCGUCCCCCAGGUCAGCAUCCGGGUGGAGUCAGACAGCGAGGAGUCUGGCGUUUACUCCAGAGAGCACCGAUACAACCCGUUUGCCCCCGCUGACCCCCCAGCACCACUCGACACCCACAGGGCCCGCCUCAGGGCUCCGCAUGCUCGCUUCAGCGACUCCUGUGCAGAAACCAUCCUGUGAAGUGAAACUUUGGAGGAAGAGGGUGCAGACUGAACCCAGCUUGGAACCACAGCGCCCUCUAGUGAUGUUUCAAUGAGUUUCAUUUUGAAAUGUAAAUUAUGUGGCUGUGCUUUCAUUUUGAAGAAAAUGUCAAGUAGACUGAAUAAAUACAAAUUGAGAAAUGUUAUAAUUUAAGGAGCUUAAGCUCAUGUUGAUCUGCUUUAACCAGAAAAAUAUUUUAGGUUUUAAACAGUUUUUCCUCAGUAUUUGUAUUUUUUUGUCUCCCUCCCCUGAGACAUUCAACACCCUGACCAGCUUUGAAAUGAAACCAGGUACUUGUGCUUUAAUUUGCCUUUAUUAGCUUGAACACUUUGUAAACAGAAGCAAACAUUUUAAUUUCAGUUUCACUGAAGAGUAGAGCUCAAUUAAAAAAGAAUUCUGGAACUGCAAGCUUAAAGGAAUGAACUAGUGUGUGAACACCGGCUAAACUUGUUGGCACACAAAGGCGGAUUAGUUUAGUUUCCUCCUCUCAGGCGGAGCACCAGGUGGAGGGUGGACUCCUUCUGGAUGUUGUAGUCGGACAGGGUGCGGCCAUCUUCCAACUGUUUUCCGGCAAAGAUCAGCCUCUGCUGGUCGGGAGGGAUGCCUUCCUUAUCCUGGAUUUUGGCCUUCACGUUUUCAAUUGUGUCACUGGGCUCCACCUCCAGGGUGAUGGUCUUUCCAGUGAGGGUUUUCACAAAGAUCUGCAUCUUGACA